Molecule: long non-coding RNA, 266 nt
Filed under: Lathyrus oleraceus (garden pea)
Lineage: Eukaryota; Viridiplantae; Streptophyta; Magnoliopsida; Fabales; Fabaceae
Description: Pisum sativum (pea) long non-coding RNA (PSAT_LNC008455)
Source: RNAcentral
AAAAAAUAAUAUAUAAAUCAAUAAAAGAAAAAUCAAAAUUAAAUUGAAUUAAAAAUGAUUAAAAUGUAAGAUAAAAAUAAAUUAAAAUUGCAGAAUAAUAUUAAUUAUUAUUUUGUAAAAUAUUAAAAUGGAUAAAAAAAUCAAGAUUUAAUAUCAACAUAAUAAAAAUAAAUUUAAAAAAUCAGAAAAUAAAAGCAAUUUAUAAAAAGAAAUUAAAAAAAAUAAUAAUAAAAUGAAAAAGGGGGUGCAAUAGUGAAACAGGAGGU